Podarcis lilfordi (Lilford's wall lizard) is the source of this 69-nucleotide non-coding RNA. The record is from the annotation of a GenBank genome assembly. NCBI's taxonomy places the organism in Eukaryota, Metazoa, Chordata, Lepidosauria, Squamata, Lacertidae.
UCCUUGCUCAGUGGUUAGAGCACCUGCCUCGCAUGCAAAAGGUCCCACGUUCGAUUUGUGGGAUGUGAA